UUGACAGCCGUGUAGACUGCUGUCUUCUUUCCCACAGAACAGGGAUAGCACGGCAAGGGUCUGCCAAUGAACUUCUAUCCCAAACUGGAGGGGCCUCUUCUAGGAGUGAGGGGGGAGUUCAUCUCCAUGUCCCAUUCAGUCCUUGGGCUCU
This 151-nucleotide small RNA is filed under the name Chrysemys picta bellii (western painted turtle). RNAcentral's name for it is "TUC338 (ENSCPBG00000025171.1)". Lineage: Eukaryota; Metazoa; Chordata; Testudines; Emydidae. The record is from RNAcentral.